Molecule: long non-coding RNA, 239 nt
Organism: Cololabis saira (Pacific saury)
Lineage: Eukaryota; Metazoa; Chordata; Actinopteri; Beloniformes; Belonidae
Exons: 3
Source: RefSeq, a predicted model, not a curated record
CCAAAACCCCGAUGCAAAGAUCAAAAGAAAAAAGAAAUGGAGUGAAAGACUUCUGGUUGCUCCACCAAACCAACCUGCUCCUGCUCCUGGAGCUCCAGAGGAAGUCACCAGCAUGGAUCACAGUCCUAAGGACAUCCCAGUCACGAGGACAGAAUACAAUGACCUGAACCUGAGGUACACCGAGCUGAAGAGUGACCACGUCAACCUGCAGGAAAAGUAUCAACAGCUGCAAGAUGAAA